GAGUUUGAUCAUGGCUCAGAUUGAACGCUGGCGGCAUGCCUUACACAUGCAAGUCGAACGGCAGCAUGAUCUAGCUUGCUAGAUUGAUGGCGAGUGGCGAACGGGUGAGUAAUACAUCGGAACGUGCCCUGUAGUGGGGGAUAACUAGUCGAAAGAUUAGCCAAUACCGCAUACGACCUGAGGGUGAAAGUGGGGGACCGCAAGGCCUCAUGCUAUAGGAGCGGCCGAUGUCUGAUUAGCUAGUUGGUGGGGUAAAGGCCCACCAAGGCGACGAUCAGUAGCUGGUCUGAGAGGACGAUCAGCCACACUGGGGACUGAGACACGGCCCAGACUCCUACGGGAGGCAGCAGUGGGGAAUUUUGGACAAUGGGCGAAAGCCUGAUCCAGCAAUGCCGCGUGUGUGAAGAAGGCCUCGGUUGGUAAGU
RNAcentral lists this ribosomal RNA (425 nucleotides) under uncultured microorganism. RNAcentral's name for it is "bacterial SSU rRNA". It matches the Rfam family "Bacterial small subunit ribosomal RNA", at positions 9 to 431 of the family's 1533-position model. The record is from RNAcentral.